UUAACAAGUCUCCAGAAAACCAAUUUUUUUAUAGAUAAGAACACAAGAAUUACUGUUAUCUCUUAUCUUUUAACAGGAAUUUUGUAGAAGAUGAGCAUUCUUCAUUUCAAAAAUAAUUGGAGAAGAUUAGCUGUGAUCUUUCAAACACAAAACGACAUAGAUGCUUGUAUUAAGUAUCUAUACGGGGAGGAAUAUCUACAACUUAAGCUGAAGCAGUUAACAACUUAUCUUUAUGUUUUAUGUCAAACUUCUAGAAGAAAAGGCAAAAAUGAAAAUGAAACGUUACAUAACCUCAAUUGUAUGCCAAAAGAGAAAAAACGAAAAAAAAAAAGAAAGAAAGAAAAGAAAAGAAGAAAAAGAAGCCAAGUAGAGGCAACACCUUGAUUAAGACAGGUAUUUUUUUUCAGGUAAACUCUGGAAAGAAUUAGCAGUGGAGGACUUUUUAUAUAAGAUGCAUUGGAAGAUAUUCCAAAGUAUAUAAUUGUUAAGAACAUUUUUAGCAACAAGAGCCAAAAGUACCUACAUUUAUGUAUUUUUUUUUGUAUAGAUUCUUUGUGAAAACUUUAACAGUAUAUCAAAGAAGAGGGAUCCCUGGGUGGCGCAGCGGUUUGGCGCCUGCCUUUGGCUCAGGGCGCGAUCCUGGAGACCCGGGAUCGAAUCCCACGUCGGGCUCCCGGUGCAUGGAGCCUGCUUCUCCCUCUGCCUGUGUCUCUGCCUCUCUCUAUCUCUCUGUGACUAUCAUAAAUAAAUAAAAAUUAAAAAAAAAAAACA
This 771-nucleotide long non-coding RNA is filed under the name Vulpes vulpes (red fox). RNAcentral's name for it is "lncRNA (ENSVVUG00000021540.1)". The record is from RNAcentral. Lineage: Eukaryota; Metazoa; Chordata; Mammalia; Carnivora; Canidae.